This 1174-nucleotide ribosomal RNA is filed under the name Escherichia coli. RNAcentral's name for it is "partial 23S ribosomal RNA". It matches the Rfam family "Bacterial large subunit ribosomal RNA", at positions 1262 to 2421 of the family's 2925-position model. The record is from RNAcentral. Lineage: Bacteria; Pseudomonadati; Pseudomonadota; Gammaproteobacteria; Enterobacterales; Enterobacteriaceae.
UGUGAGGCAUGCUGGAGGUAUCAGAAGUGCGAAUGCUGACAUAAGUAACGAUAAAGCGGGUGAAAAGCCCGCUCGCCGGAAGACCAAGGGUUCCUGUCCAACGUUAAUCGGGGCAGGGUGAGUCGACCCCUAAGGCGAGGCCGAAAGGCGUAGUCGAUGGGAAACAGGUUAAUAUUCCUGUACUUGGUGUUACUGCGAAGGGGGGACGGAGAAGGCUAUGUUGGCCGGGCGACGGUUGUCCCGGUUUAAGCGUGUAGGCUGGUUUUCCAGGCAAAUCCGGAAAAUCAAGGCUGAGGCGUGAUGACGAGGCACUACGGUGCUGAAGCAACAAAUGCCCUGCUUCCAGGAAAAGCCUCUAAGCAUCAGGUAACAUCAAAUCGUACCCCAAACCGACACAGGUGGUCAGGUAGAGAAUACCAAGGCGCUUGAGAGAACUCGGGUGAAGGAACUAGGCAAAAUGGUGCCGUAACUUCGGGAGAAGGCACGCUGAUAUGUAGGUGAAGUCCCUCGCGGAUGGAGCUGAAAUCAGUCGAAGAUACCAGCUGGCUGCAACUGUUUAUUAAAAACACAGCACUGUGCAAACACGAAAGUGGACGUAUACGGUGUGACGCCUGCCCGGUGCCGGAAGGUUAAUUGAUGGGGUUAGCGCAAGCGAAGCUCUUGAUCGAAGCCCCGGUAAACGGCGGCCGUAACUAUAACGGUCCUAAGGUAGCGAAAUUCCUUGUCGGGUAAGUUCCGACCUGCACGAAUGGCGUAAUGAUGGCCAGGCUGUCUCCACCCGAGACUCAGUGAAAUUGAACUCGCUGUGAAGAUGCAGUGUACCCGCGGCAAGACGGAAAGACCCCGUGAACCUUUACUAUAGCUUGACACUGAACAUUGAGCCUUGAUGUGUAGGAUAGGUGGGAGGCUUUGAAGUGUGGACGCCAGUCUGCAUGGAGCCGACCUUGAAAUACCACCCUUUAAUGUUUGAUGUUCUAACGUGGACCCGUAAUCCGGGUUGCGGACAGUGUCUGGUGGGUAGUUUGACUGGGGCGGUCUCCUCCUAAAGAGUAACGGAGGAGCACGAAGGUUGGCUAAUCCUGGUCGGACAUCAGGAGGUUAGUGCAAUGGCAUAAGCCAGCUUGACUGCGAGCGUGACGGCGCGAGCAGGUGCGAAAGCAGGUCAUAGUGAUCC